AUGCCGGCUGGUAUUUCGACUCUGGCGCCGUCGACGGAUGCGGAAUCUUUCGAUUAUGAAGCGAAGGAUCCGCCGGCCUUUACAAUCUUACAGAAGGAUGGCCUGGAUUCGAGUCUGCCUCUUUUACACGUCAACGAAGACGAUGAGAUGAAUGCGUCGCAACUUAUCAACUUAGAAAACAUGAAGAACGCAAUGAAGAAUAACCUCUGUAAUCGCAGACGUAUCAGCAAAUCCAAUGAACAUCUGGUCUUGGCUAAUCUACAAUCGAAUCAAGCCAAUCCUCUGAAGAAAAAACAUCAAAGUAAAAGUCAAGAUAGCUUAACGUUAGCUGAGGACAGACCACCUACAGUUAAACCUAGCAUUGUCUUAUCAACGGAAGAUUUCAAUGAAGUGUUGAACGCGAAAUUGAAAAAAAUCCAAGAGCAAGCCGAGGCCGAGCAAGGCCGCAAGUCGCCUAAGAAAUCGAUCCUACCGCAGAAAAAGCCGUUCAUCACGACCGUGAAGACGGGAGAAUUUCUAAUGCCGCCGCCGGAAGUGGCGGCCUUGCUCGGCAUAGCGCCCAGCAGAAAGUACGAGGAGGAGGAGGCCGUAGACGGAUGUCCUCUGAAGAGCAGGUUCAAAUCACUGGUAUCGCUAGCCAAGAGACCGGAGGUACGUCACAAUAGCCAUAAUGCCAGAUGUCCAGCCGCCCUGAAGGCCACCGUAGAUUUUUCCCUCGGCAUGAUGAACGCCACCACCAUCGCCACCGCCUCGACCUUAAAUGAGCAGGCAAGAAGGUUCAAGAGGAGUGAACUGACCAGAUUCCCGCAGACGCCGCGAGCUUUACCAAAAAAGUUGGAACCGAUCGAGGGCAUGAUGAAUAUGCUGCCGAGACUUCGCGGCGAUCAUUCGGUUCCCUUCGGGAAUAUUAUGUUUGACCGCCGAGUGGUUCGAGGAAGCACAUGCGCUUCCAUUCCUACUCUUAUCGAUGGGGAACAAUCGAUAGCAGCGAGGCAAGCGGAAGCAAGACGAAGACAUUUGGCGAGGAAACGUGCUCAAAUGCAAACUUGCAGAACUUCCAGAUCAGGUUCGCCUCCUCCGGUUGCUGGAAGAAAACACGAACCAGUGCAAACGGAGAUUUUCCUCGAAGAGCUGAUAGAGAAACCAGACGAAUCCGAAGUAGCCACACAGACUGAUUACUUCUUGGAAAAACCAGUACUACCAAACUAUUAUGUAAGCGAAGUUGGUCAAGACGUUGGCACGCAAAUCGAACCCGGGGAACUCUUCGACUACGACACUGAAAUCCAACCGAUUUUGGAAGUGUUGGUAGGCAAGACUAUUGAACAAGCCCUAAUCGAGGUUCUGGAAGAGGAGGAAAUCUCUGCUCUUAAGGAGCAGCAGCGAAGAUUCCUCGAAUUGCGCAUGGCUGAGGAAGCUGAAGAGCAACGAUUAGCAGAAGAAGAUAGAAGACGUAGAGAGGACAAGGAGCAACGCCUGAAGCAACAUGAAAAGGCGAUGAAAGCUCAGCAGGAGACCGAGGAACGAGUCGCGGCUGCAGUAUUGUUAACAGGAUAUAUCGCCGAACUUUUACCUGCGGUUCUGGAGAGUCUGAAGAUGUCUGGCUAUUUACUGGAUGAGAUUAAGGCUGAUGUCGAAGAAGGUUUUAUGCCAUGGUUAAUGAAAGAAGUCAAAAAAGAAAUGGGUAACAUGAUUGAAAGCAGAGAAUUGUUAAUGGAAAUUAUUAAAGAAAUCUUGGAGAACCGCGCGCAAACAUACAGGCAGCUUGGUGAAGAAUACGAUAUUUCAAGAAAUAAGAAAUUAGCAAACGUAUAUAAUUUGGAAGGAGGUGAAACUGAUAACAAUUUCGUGAAUUAUGAGUCACCCGCGGCAAAAGAAAAUCACGCAAUUUAGCGUGAUAAUUUGUUUUCAGGACAUUAAUGAUGUGUGUUAGAAAAUGAGCAAAACGUAGUUAACUUUUGACUAACAGGAUUUACCUUAACCAGCACAAAAGCAAUAUCCGAAUCCGUACCUUCUACAUUAAGCAGUAUACACAGCUGUGCAACAAAUCCAUCUCCUUCGUUUGCACCCUCUGACAGGUCACCGCAGCGCUCGCGAUCCCUAUCGCAAACAAUAACCGCCGAAAGAACGAGAAAGGCCUAUCAGAAAUUAAUUAUCGAUUCUCGAAAUCAACGCGAUUAACAUUGAAACGCUGCACAAUGCUUUCAAGAAUAAGAAGCCGAUUACAUUCUAGGACAUAAUUUAUAAUUUAUUCAUGUAAUUCCGAAGAUCCAAAAAUUUAAGUACAUAUUAAAUAAAUAA
This is an RNA transcript of Trachymyrmex septentrionalis, 2298 nucleotides long. It is a transcript of the gene named radial spoke head protein 3 homolog B, with no coding region annotated. Lineage: Eukaryota; Metazoa; Arthropoda; Insecta; Hymenoptera; Formicidae. The transcript has 11 exons. The record is from RefSeq and is a predicted model, not a curated record.